CGCAAUGGGCGAAAGCCUGACGGAGCAACGCCGCGUGAAUGAUGAAGGCCUUCGGGUUGUAAAAUUCUGUCUUCAGGGAAGAAAAAAAUGACGGUACCUGAGGAGGAAGCCCCGGCUAACUACGUGCCAGCAGGCGCGGUAAUACGUAGGGGGCGAGCGUUGUCCGGAAUUACUGGGCGUAAAGGGCGCGUAGGCGGUUUCUUAAGUCAGAGGUGAAAACUAUGGGCUCAACCCAUAGCCUGCCUUUGAAACUGGGAGACUUGAGGACAGGAGAGGGGAGUGGAAUUCCCAGUGUAGCGGUGAAAUGCGUAGAUAUUGGGAGGAACACCAGUGGCGAAGGCGGCUCUCUGGCCUGUCCCCGUCUUUCAGGCGCGAAAGCGU
RNAcentral lists this ribosomal RNA (381 nucleotides) under uncultured Pelotomaculum sp. RNAcentral describes it as "bacterial SSU rRNA". It matches the Rfam family "Bacterial small subunit ribosomal RNA", at positions 367 to 762 of the family's 1533-position model. Lineage: Bacteria; Bacillati; Bacillota; Clostridia; Eubacteriales; Desulfotomaculaceae. The record is from RNAcentral.